UACGUAGGGUGCGAGCGUUGUCCGGAAUUACUGGGCGUAAAGAGCUCGUAGGCGGUUCGUCGCGUCGGCUGUGAAAUCCCGAGGCUCAACCUCGGGUCUGCAGUCGAUACGGGCGGACUGGAGUACUGCAGGGGAGACUGGAAUUCCUGGUGUAGCGGUGAAAUGCGCAGAUAUCAGGAGGAACACCGGUGGCGAAGGCGGGUCUCUGGGCAGUUACUGACGCUGAGGAGCGAAAGCGUGGGGAGCGAACAGG
Molecule: ribosomal RNA, 253 nt
Filed under: uncultured bacterium
Lineage: Bacteria
Description: partial 16S ribosomal RNA
Rfam family: Bacterial small subunit ribosomal RNA
Source: RNAcentral